AUCCCUGUGGCUCAGUUGGUAGAGCAUGGUGUGUGCAACGCCAGGGUUGUGGGUUCGUUUCCCACGGGGGGCC
Molecule: transfer RNA, 73 nt
Filed under: Salmo salar (Atlantic salmon)
Lineage: Eukaryota; Metazoa; Chordata; Actinopteri; Salmoniformes; Salmonidae
Rfam family: tRNA
About the family: Transfer RNA (tRNA) molecules are approximately 80 nucleotides in length.
Source: Rfam by way of RNAcentral